RNAcentral lists this long non-coding RNA (1977 nucleotides) under Mus musculus (house mouse). RNAcentral's name for it is "long non-coding RNA chr9:94947015-94948992". Lineage: Eukaryota; Metazoa; Chordata; Mammalia; Rodentia; Muridae. The record is from RNAcentral.
UUCCAGUUUUAGAUUCCCAGGGCCUAUUUUAUAGCCAUGGAGAAAGGAGGGAGGGCAUUGGCAUACCUUGCUCUCUCACACACAAUUUAAACAAUAUAGCACACUAUUUAUUCAGCUUAGAAUGGUUUCUAAGAAAAUAAACUUGUAAAAUAUGAAGGAAACCAGCUUUGAUUGCUAAACAAAACCGAGGGACUUUGAAGUCUGAGCCUAGAGAGUAAAGGUUCCGGGACAGAUACAUAGGUAAACAACCAUGCAAAGGUUAAUGCUAGUCUUGAUCUGGUCCAUCCACUGAGAGAGCACCAAGGGGUGCAACGAAGAUGCUCUCGGCACAUCCAAGGAGCCCAACAGUGAAGCCAUAUCUGUCCUGUCACCCGCAUGUCCUAGUUGGUCUGCAGUCUCAGGCCCUAAUUACGCUGCCUGGUGAGGAAGAGGUGACAGAUGUCAGGUCAGUUCCUGAAAGGCUUUUGUGGCGUGAAGAGGGAACCUGGGGGAAGUCUCUUCUCUUUCACAAUAAACCAAGAAAAUAGAUCUCCCCUGCAGCAACUUUUCCUGACACAUUAAGAUUUCGCUUGAUCUCUGUGAUUGGGCUUGUUGCUUCUCAUCCUUACCAUCUCACAGACUGGCGAAAAGGGGUUGAAAAGUUCUAAAGAAAGCUUUCCACUUAGAAAUGAAUGUGUUCCAUUUGGCUUGCAUCUGGCAUAUUGUAUGACUGGACUGGGAUAUCAUAUUUAUGUUGCUCUGUAACUAAAGCAAAUUGCAGUGAGGGUCUUAAUUUGACUGUUUUUUUAAAAACAAACCUGUCUAGCCCCUCUUGGCUCAACACUACUCUUGACUUCACACUGACAGAACCAUCUAUAUAUAUAUCAGGUAGACAAGGCUCCUGACAAAUAAGGAACAGUGUUUACCAAGAGAUUCAAAAUGUUAGGCCUCCAGGCUGCAGGAACAAGUACCCAUGGUUCCCAAGGAGACUAGUUACCGACACGCUGAACCAAGGGCAAGCAUACCACAGUGCAGGCUCAGUAAACAGGUGUAGCACACAUUUCCAGUUGCAGCUCAUCAGCUUACGCCUGCACUUUCUCAAACCAAAUUGCCCUUCAUAUCAAUAUCCAAACCACCUGUACAAGUAACUGAAGUCGUAGAUAAUCUUACCCUGACCUCUUCGCUGUGAGUGUUCUCAGGCAGUACCUCAGAGUGUCAGGAGGCAGAGUGAAAAAAAAAAAGAUGAAAUGAGUUCUCAGGCACUAUAUUCUGCACGGAAGUAUAAAAAUUGUCAGACUGUGACACAAAUAACCAACAUACAGGUGAUGGAAGAAAAGGGGAGUCAAAGAUAUUUUCGGAUGCGUACUUUAGUGGCCUCCUGCACUAAAACAGGAUGGGGAAGGACACUCUCGAUUUCUUUUCCUGGUGCUAUGAUUAAAUACUCUGACAGAAGCAAUUUAAGGAAGGAAGGGGUUAGUUUAGCUCCCAGUUCAAGGUACAGUCCACUACAGUGGGGAAAUUAAGGCGGCAGGAGCUUGAAACAGCUGGUCACAUGACACCUAUGGGCAGAAGGCUAAAGUGAUGAAGGCACACCAGUGCUCAGCAUGCUUCCUCUAACUCAUGGAACCCAGGAGCUCCUGCCAGGCAGCGGUCCCACCUAGUCAAGCAGGUCUUCAAAUACCAAUUAAUACAAGCAAGAUAACCCCCUAGAGCCAUUCCCCGCAGCCCAUCUUUCAGUUGAUUCUAGAUUCUGUAAGAUUAGCAAUUGGCACUAACUCUCACUGACAACAAUUAGGUGACUUAAAGAGCUUCAUGACCCUACCCACAUGGAACAGCCACUUGGGAAGGUACAACUCCAGCUAAUAGGUGCGAUUACUGAUUAGAAAUUCCAGCUAUCCUGCUAUAACAGUGUUCAUUGAAUCUAAGAAAAUGGAUGGGCAGGUGAGUUUUUGGCUGAUAAAUUACCAAAACCUUAGGCAAAAUAUCAGGAAUCUAAGC